This 915-nucleotide ribosomal RNA is filed under the name Amanita sp. 'S17'. RNAcentral describes it as "partial large subunit ribosomal RNA". Lineage: Eukaryota; Fungi; Basidiomycota; Agaricomycetes; Agaricales; Amanitaceae. The record is from RNAcentral.
CUACCCGCUGAACUUAAGCAUAUCAAUAAGCGGAGGAAAAGAAACUAACAAGGAUUCCCUUAGUAACUGCGAGUGAAGUGGGAAAAGCUCAAAUUUAAAAUCUGGCAGCCUUAGGUUGUCCGAGUUGUAACCUAGAGAAGUGCUACCUGCACUGGACCAUGUAUAAGUCUCCUGGAAUGGAGUGUCACAGAGGGUGAGAAUCCCGUCUUUGACAUGGACUUGCCAGUGCGUUGUGGUGUGCUCUCGAAGAGUCGAGUUGUUUGGGAAUGCAGCUCUAAAUGGGUGGUAAAUUCCAUCUAAAGCUAAAUAUUGGCGAGAGACCGAUAGCGAACAAGUACCGUGAGGGAAAGAUGAAAAGAACUUUGGAAAGAGAGUUAAACAGUAUGUGAAAUUGUUGAAAGGGAAACAUUUGAAGUCAGUUGUUGUUGGCUAGGGAUCAACCUGGCUUUUUUUGCUUGGGUGUAUUUCCUAGUGAACAGGUCAACAUCAGUUUUGGUCACUAGAAAAAAGCCAAGAAAAUGUAGCACCUUUUGGGUGUGUUAUAGUUCUUGGUUAUAUAUAGUGAUUGGGACUGAGGUAUGCAGCACACCGAAAGGUUGGGUAUUAGCCACAUUUGUGCUUAGGAUGUUGACAUAAUGGCUUUAAGUGACCCGUCUUGAAACACGGACCAAGGAGUCUAACAUGCCUGCAAGUGUUUGGGUGGAAAACCCAAGCGCGUAAUGAAAGUGAAAGUUGAGAUCCCUAUUAUAGGGAGCAUCGAUGCCCAGACCAGAACUUUUGGGACGGAUCUGCGGUAGAGCAUGUAUGUUGGGACCCGAAARAUGGUGAACUAUGCCUGAAUAGGGUGAAGCCAGAGGAAACUCUGGUGGAGGCUCGUAGCGAUUCUGACGUGCAAAUCGAUCGUCGAAUUUGGGU